This 493-nucleotide ribosomal RNA is filed under the name uncultured bacterium. Its description in RNAcentral is "partial 16S ribosomal RNA". It matches the Rfam family "Bacterial small subunit ribosomal RNA", at positions 29 to 523 of the family's 1533-position model. The record is from RNAcentral.
AUUGAACGCUGGCGGCAUGCUUUACACAUGCAAGUCGAACGGUAACAGGUUAAGCUGACGAGUGGCGAACGGGUGAGUAAUGCAUCGGAACGUGCCCGAACGCGGGGGAUAACGCAGCGAAAGCUGCGCUAAUACCGCAGACGAUCGGAGGAUGAAAGAGGGGGACCGUAAGGCCUUGCGCGAUCGGACCGGCCGAUGUCAGAUUAGGUAGUUGGUGGGGUAAAGGCUCACCAAGCCGACGAUCUGUAGCUGGUCUGAGAGGACGACCAGCCACACUGGGACUGAGACACGGCCCAGACUCCUACGGGAGGCAGCAGUGGGGAAUUUUGGACAAUGGGCGAAAGCCUGAUCCAGCAAUGCCGCGUGCAGGAAGAAGGCCUUCGGGUUGUAAACUGCUUUUGUACGGAGCGAAAAGGCUCUCUCUAAUACAGGGGGCUCAUGACGGUACCGUAAGAAUAAGCACCGGCUAACUACGUGCCAGCCGCCGCCGUAA